RNAcentral lists this long non-coding RNA (320 nucleotides) under Elaeis guineensis (African oil palm). Its description in RNAcentral is "long non-coding RNA (EGUI_LNC061090)". The record is from RNAcentral. Lineage: Eukaryota; Viridiplantae; Streptophyta; Magnoliopsida; Arecales; Arecaceae.
CAAGUGUAAUUUGAUACACUUAGCCACUUUUUUUAGGCAUUUUCUCUCCUUAUGGGCCGACCUUGGUGGUUGAAGAUGAAGGAGAAGAAAGUUUGUUUCUAGUGGAUAAUCAGGGUUGCAUCUAAAAUUUUAUAUAUAUUGAAUUAAAUAAAGAUCCAAUCUUUAUCUGGAUUGUAGCAGAAUAGAGAUCAAAUCUUUAAAAUCUAGAUUCAAAUCUUCACAUAGGCCUGGAUCUAUAGGCUCUCUACUACGCACACACACCAAGCUUUGCAAAAAAUCUAGAUGAAGCUUCAGAUUGAAGCACUUUCACAAGGCCACCA